Molecule: long non-coding RNA, 484 nt
Organism: Cyclopterus lumpus (lumpfish)
Lineage: Eukaryota; Metazoa; Chordata; Actinopteri; Perciformes; Cyclopteridae
Exons: 2
Source: RefSeq, a predicted model, not a curated record
GCCGUAGGGGCCUGACGUAAGUGUUAAUAUGUCACAUGUGCCUUCCAGUGAAGUCCUUAAAAAGGUUGAGGUUUGCAUGCCAUCAUUAGUGCCUCCUGGCUGUCCUGUAUUGUGGCUUCAAAUGCAGCUGAGCCGACCAGAGGGACAGAGGUACCACUGCAGUCAGCCCACCAGCCCCCCCUCCCCCUCCCCUUCCUCUUCCCCUCAUCAGCACAUUCCAACACACUGACACUGUAACUGCCAAGGCAGGUUUCCAGUGAGGCGCAUGGUCAGUGAGCCGGCCUGCCAGUCGCUGGCCGUAUGCCUGCCAUGUGAUUCUCACAUUGCUGCACAAUGACACGCCGGGAUUACUGUGAGACAGUGGUGGGGGAACAUGCUUCAGGCCUUCAGGGCCAUUCAUGCCCACAGAAAAUACCCAGUCUGUAUCAUGUUUGUGCGGAAAAAGCUCUUUUUUGUCAAAAUAAAUAAAUGCAUCAGGAUUUAU